Molecule: ribosomal RNA, 492 nt
Filed under: uncultured bacterium
Lineage: Bacteria
Description: partial 16S ribosomal RNA
Rfam family: Bacterial small subunit ribosomal RNA
Source: RNAcentral
AGUGAACGCUGGCGGUAGGCCUAACACAUGCAAGUCGAACGGCAGCACAGUAAGAGCUUGCUCUUACGGGUGGCGAGUGGCGGACGGGUGAGGAAUACAUCGGAAUCUACUUUUUCGUGGGGGAUAACGUAGGGAAACUUACGCUAAUACCGCAUACGACCUACGGGUGAAAGCAGGGGAUCUUCGGACCUUGCGCGAUUGAAUGAGCCGAUGUCGGAUUAGCUAGUUGGCGGGGUAAAGGCCCACCAAGGCGACGAUCCGUAGCUGGUCUGAGAGGGUGGAUCGGCCACACUGAACCUGAGACACGGUCCGGCCUCCACCGGAAGGCAGCGGUGGGGAUUUUUGGACAAGGGGCGCAAGCCUGAUCCAGCCAUACCGCGUGGGUGAAGAAGGCCUUCGGUUUGUAAAGCCCUUUUGUUGGGAAAGAAAAGCAGCAGGUUAAUACCCCGCUGUUCUGACGGUACCCAAAGAAUAGGCACCGGCUACCUCCGU